Molecule: ribosomal RNA, 490 nt
Filed under: uncultured bacterium
Lineage: Bacteria
Description: partial 16S ribosomal RNA
Rfam family: Bacterial small subunit ribosomal RNA
Source: RNAcentral
AUUGAACGCUGGCGGCAGGCCUAACACAUGCAAGUCGAACGGUAACAGGAAGCAGCUUGCUGCUUUGCUGACGAGUGGCGGACGGGUGAGUAAUGUCUGGGAAACUGCCCGAUGGAGGGGGAUAACUACUGGAAACGGUAGCUAAUACCGCAUAACGUCGCAAGACCAAAGAGGGGGACCUUAGGGCCUCUUGCCAUCGGAUGUGCCCAGAUGGGAUUAGCUAGUAGGUGGGGUAACGGCUCACCUAGGCGACGAUCCCUAGCUGGUCUGAGAGGAUGACCAGCCACACUGGAACUGAGACACGGUCCAGACUCCUACGGGAGGCAGCAGUGGGGAAUAUUGCACAAUGGGCGCAAGCCUGAUGCAGCCAUGCCGCGUGUAUGAAGAAGGCCUUCGGGUUGUAAAGUACUUUCAGCGGGGAGGAAGGGAGUAAAGUUAAUACCUUUGUUCAUUGACGUUACCCGCAGAAGAAGCACCGGCUAACUCCGUG